AUUGAACGCUGGCGGCAUGCCUUACACAUGCAAGUCGAACGGCAGCACGGGUGCUUGCACCUGGUGGCGAGUGGCGAACGGGUGAGUAAUAUAUCGGGACGUACCUUAUCGUGGGGGAUAACGCAGCGAAAGCUGUGCUAAUACCGCAUAAGCCCUAAGGGGGAAAGCAGGGGACCGUAAGGCCUUGCGCGACUAGAGCGGCCGAUACCUGAUUAGCUAGUUGGUGAGGUAAAGGCUCACCAAGGCAACGAUCAGUAGCUGGUCUGAGAGGACGAUCAGCCACACUGGGACUGAGACACGGCCCAGACUCCUACGGGAGGCAGCAGCGGGGAAUUUUGGACAAUGGGGGCAACCCUGAUCCAACAAUGCCGCGUGAGUGAAGAAGGCCUUCGGGUUGUAAAGCUCUUUUGUCAGGGAAGAAACAGCAGCUCUAAUACAGUAUGCGAAUGACGGUACCUGAAGAAUAAGCACCGGCUAACUACGUGCCAGCCGCCGCGGUAA
Molecule: ribosomal RNA, 501 nt
Filed under: uncultured bacterium
Lineage: Bacteria
Description: partial 16S ribosomal RNA
Rfam family: Bacterial small subunit ribosomal RNA
Source: RNAcentral